This 169-nucleotide small RNA is filed under the name uncultured Collinsella sp. RNAcentral describes it as "Collinsella-1 RNA". It matches the Rfam family "Collinsella-1 RNA". The record is from RNAcentral. Lineage: Bacteria; Bacillati; Actinomycetota; Coriobacteriia; Coriobacteriales; Coriobacteriaceae.
GUAGCCUCGUCUUGAUUGGCGGAUGUAAAUAAACGGUGGAACGGCUGUAAAAGAGCCUUGCCACUGGGUAAAAUCAGGAUGUGCCGCGGAACCCGCUCCUCAGUCGGUCAACUUUGGAAGCGCGGGCAACGCAGGUACUAUCGUCUAAAGGGCCGGGUGCGACCGGCCC